Portunus trituberculatus (swimming crab) is the source of this 693-nucleotide long non-coding RNA. RefSeq lists it as uncharacterized. The record is from RefSeq and is a predicted model, not a curated record. NCBI's taxonomy places the organism in Eukaryota, Metazoa, Arthropoda, Malacostraca, Decapoda, Portunidae. The transcript has 3 exons.
GAGGGUCAGUUCACCGUGUCAGUGUUUUCUCUUCGUGUGACAACCUCAGAAGUUGACGUGUGCCCACGACCUCCUGCUGGGCGUUCAUUUGCUUAAACAAGAUUAGGGACUUCGUUAUGCGUCAACAGUGUGACUGAAGCAGUGGAAUGUGCCUCUUGCCAUACGUGGUGCCCUAUUGGGAAGAAAGGAAGACCAGGACACAGUAACAUCGGCGGUGUUGAGCCAAGACAUGUGGGUGACAGAUGAGCAAAACAAAAUCCAGCAUUUUGACACCAACUGACAUCACAAGAUCCAUUCUAUAUGUGGAACUACCUGAGAACAGCUGGGCUAGGUGGGGCACGGCCCGAGGAUUCCACACACUACGCCGAUCCCCUUCUAAGCCAGGCCAGGUGCAGUGACCUGACUCCAGCUGGACGGUGUGAGGUCACGGGCCGGAUGUUCAGCCGAGGACUCUCCAGUCAGCACUGAAACCUCGUGAUAUGCACACCGCUCGACUCAUCUCCGCUGAACAGAACAGAACAGAAUCAGAAAAGGAAAGAUGGGGAGGGGGAAGUGGGGAUAGAAGAAGAAUAGAUGGGUGAUAAGAAGGGAGCUUCAGUAAGAGGGUAAAGUCACUGGGGCUUGACCCAGGCGCAAGAUGGACUUUUGUGGUUACUGAGCGCUACGUCUAUUAUAGAAGUUCUUUAUGGAAGA